GUGAAACCCUGUCUCAAAAGAAAAAAAGGGGCAGAUGGUUGAGGGCUCACAUUCAUCCCAAACUUAGCAUUUGCCAGGAACCAAGACGCCAUUCCCUCCUUCCUUACCUUCCUCGGAUAUCCUGUCUUCUUAAGACAGCUUUAGUGAGGAGCUGCGAAAAUGCAGACAUUUCUCAAUGUUAGCAUUGCAUGAAUCCCUGGGAAACUGUCAUCAGAGCACUGGGAACGGAUGUGAUGUCCCACUUAUGCUUUGGGGGUGUCCAAACUUGACUAGCUGGGGAGUCUAUACAUAGCGAGUAGGAUAUAUAAAGGCCCACUCCUUCCUGACUCAUGCAACAACACUUAGCUACAGCCUUCUCUGUGUCGGCAACUAGGCUGUACACUGGGGACAGAGAGCUUUGUUUAUGGUUUAAUUGGAAGACAGAUCUGUAAGCAGAUAAUUAUAAAAUAAUGUGCUGGGAUAAUAUGACCAUAUUUAGUGUAUAUAGGCAUGAGAUUCUGAAGAUUAAAGAAAGAUGUUAAAAAAAUACCCCCCAACCCAAUAAUAUGCUAGGUGCAGUGAUAGAGUCCAACAAGGGAGCAAGAAAGGAGAAAUGGGUGUGCAGAGAGGAAGGGCGGGGUGUGCAGCAUGACCCACAACCAAUAGCCUUCCUGUCCAGCGCUCCUGCAUUGGGACAAAGAUCAUAAGGCUUGAAAGAAAAGUGCCUGGACUCUGCCUCCAGAAUGUCAUCUCCCCAGCAAACAAAGUGGCUCUCGCCACAUACUUCAUACUUGUCCUUAAAAACAAUGGAACUAGGGAUUCUUCCUGUACUGUGGAAUCAUGAAACCUUGGGUGGUAAACCUGUCCAAUUGAACCGUGAUGGACAGAAAUGAAACCGUGGGUGAUAAAACGGGCUCCUCCUGCAUCUUAAUGGUGUCAGUGACACCAGAGCCCUGACAGUUGUGAUGGCUAAUUGUCAUGUCUUCGUUACCUAGGAGACACAUCUCUAGGCAUGUCUGUGAGGUUGUUCCUAGAGGGAUUUAACUGAGGAGGGAAGACCCACCACAGUCCUGGAUGACAUCAUCUCAUAGCGUGGGCGCCUAGGCUGAAUAAAAGAGGACAGAAGGAAAACACCAGGUCCAUCUUGUUCUUUAGCCAGAUGAUCUUGGGCUGGAAGACGAAGAUGAAGCAGCACAGAGCAGGGGAGGAGCCAAUCAUCCUUUCUACACUUAGAGGCCCUGCCCACAGGCUUGUAGAUGGCCGCUUUCUGCCCGUUCCCUGCCACCAUGCUGUGGGGAGAUUCCCCUUUCGGUACCUCGAGCAACCACAGAGUCUCUUCCUGCAUUGAGUAUCGUGCCUAAAGCCUAGUCUAUGUCAACAGAGGUCCUGACUUGGAAGAAAUUGUUCAGGAGCCAUCAUGGGCAUCAAAGUCUGCUUUUUAAAAUUCUAAAGACUAUUUUUGUUUUAAGUCAGGGUCUCAUUAGGUAGACUUGGCUGUUCUCACUAUGUGGACUAGGCGAGCCCCAGACUCACAAAGAUCCACCCCUACCUCUGCUCUGUAGUUGUGUGACUAAAGCUGUGCAUCUCCACGCCUAGCUGUGGGUGCCACCAAAAACUCUUUUAAAAUAA
Molecule: non-coding RNA, 1608 nt
Organism: Rattus norvegicus (Norway rat)
Lineage: Eukaryota; Metazoa; Chordata; Mammalia; Rodentia; Muridae
Source: RefSeq, a predicted model, not a curated record